RNAcentral lists this ribosomal RNA (464 nucleotides) under uncultured bacterium. RNAcentral's name for it is "bacterial SSU rRNA". It matches the Rfam family "Bacterial small subunit ribosomal RNA", at positions 30 to 523 of the family's 1533-position model. The record is from RNAcentral.
CCUGAACGCUGGCGGCGUGGCUAAGACAUGCAAGUCGUACGGUGUAGCAAUACACAGUGGCGAACGGGUGAGUAAUGAAUCGCUAACGUGCCCCGGACUCUGGGAUAGCUAUCCGAAAGGGUAGGUAAUACCAGAUGAGACCACGAACAGGCAUCUGUUUGUGCUCAAAGGUCCGCCGGUCUGGGAGCGGGCGAUUUCGUAUCAGCUAGUUGGUGAGGUAACGGCUCACCAAGGCGACGACGCGUAGCCGGACUGAGAGGUUGGCCGGCCACAUUGGGACUGAGACACUGCCCAGACUCCUACGGGGGCUGCAGUAACGAAUCUUCCGCAAUGCACGAAAGUGUGACGGAGCGACGCCGCGUGUGGGACGAAGCCCUUCGGGUGUAACCACUGUCGAGGGGUUAGAAAGUUCUGAUCAACCCCAGAGGAAGGCACGGCUAACUCUGUGCCAGCCGCCGCGGUAA